Molecule: long non-coding RNA, 456 nt
Filed under: Nicotiana benthamiana
Lineage: Eukaryota; Viridiplantae; Streptophyta; Magnoliopsida; Solanales; Solanaceae
Description: long non-coding RNA (NBEN_LNC017681)
Source: RNAcentral
CUGAAUAUAACAAAUAAGGAAAUAUUUUCAGCAUAGUACUAUACGUAAUAGAGACUAGGUUCAUCAGAUUCUUAUCAAGGAAAUGCCAGUAAGAAUCAAGUACCAAUGUAACCAUGGUAAGGGGAUUAAUCAAAUUGAGUAGAAAAGGUAGGGAUCGAAGGUUGAAAGGAAAGUGUUCAAAUCAGACCAAGAAAUAGGGAAACGAGUAAGGUGAAACAAGGAAAGAAUCAAAUAUUUAACAUAUGAGUGCAGUUAGAGUUUUACAUGGAAUGGUUUGAAAUCAAUCCAUAAUUGAAGGUCAUUCAAGAGUGGAAUUCAGCAUAUAAAUAGAGUACAUGAACAUUAGGCAUGCGAGGCUACACUAUGGCACAGAAAAGCAGCAUGCAAUAACAAUCACAAAGUCAGUAGACACUGAACUAUCGAAACAUGAUAGUCACGUAGGUCAACUUCAUUAAC